This is a transfer RNA of Ovis aries (sheep), 73 nucleotides long. It matches the Rfam family "tRNA". From Rfam's summary of the family: Transfer RNA (tRNA) molecules are approximately 80 nucleotides in length. Their secondary structure includes four short double-helical elements and three loops (D, anti-codon, and T loops). Lineage: Eukaryota; Metazoa; Chordata; Mammalia; Artiodactyla; Bovidae. The record is from Rfam.
UCCCUGGUGGUCCAAUGGUUAAGACUUGGCACUUGUAUUGCCAAGGGUCUAGGUUCAAUCCCUGGUUGGGGAA